Molecule: ribosomal RNA, 327 nt
Filed under: uncultured eukaryote
Lineage: Eukaryota
Description: partial 18S ribosomal RNA
Rfam family: Eukaryotic small subunit ribosomal RNA
Source: RNAcentral
CCCUUAGAUGUUCUGGGCCGCACGCGCGCUACACUGACGAAUGCAACGAGCUUAUAACCUUGGCCGAAAGGUCUGGGUAAUCUCCAAAUUUCGUCGUGAUGGGGAUAGAUUAUUGCAAUUAUUAAUCUUUAACGAGGAAUGCCUAGUAAGCGCAAGUCAUCAGCUUGCGUUGAUUACGUCCCUGCCCUUUGUACACACCGCCCGUCGCUCCUACCGAUUGAAUGGUCCGGUGAAGCGCUCGGACCGCGGCCUCUUGACGGUUUUCCGUCGAUUGGCUGUGGGAAGUUCGUUAAACCUUNUNAUUUAGNGGAAGGAGAANUCGUANCA